RNAcentral lists this ribosomal RNA (253 nucleotides) under uncultured bacterium. RNAcentral's name for it is "partial 16S ribosomal RNA". It matches the Rfam family "Bacterial small subunit ribosomal RNA", at positions 524 to 776 of the family's 1533-position model. The record is from RNAcentral.
UACGGGGGGGGCAAGCGUUGUUCGGAAUUACUGGGCGUAAAGGGCUCGUAGGUGGCCAACUAAGUCGGACGUGAAAUCCCUCAGCUUAACUGGGGAACUGCGUCCGAUACUGGAUGGCUUGAGUUUGGGAGAGGGAUGCGGAAUUCCAGGUGUAGCGGUGAAAUGCGUAGAUAUCUGGAGGAACACCUGUGGCGAAAGCGGCACACUGGACCACAACUGACGCUGAGGCGCGAAAGCUAGGGGAGCAAACAGG